AUGGACCCGCGGCGCAUUAGCUAGUUGGUGAGGUAACGGCUCACCAAGGCAACGAUGCGUAGCCGACCUGAGAGGGUGAUCGGCCACACUGGGACUGAGAC
Molecule: ribosomal RNA, 101 nt
Filed under: Bacillus subtilis Miyagi-4
Lineage: Bacteria; Bacillati; Bacillota; Bacilli; Caryophanales; Bacillaceae
Description: Small Subunit Ribosomal RNA; ssuRNA; SSU ribosomal RNA
Rfam family: Bacterial small subunit ribosomal RNA
Source: RNAcentral